Molecule: ribosomal RNA, 253 nt
Filed under: uncultured prokaryote
Description: partial 16S ribosomal RNA
Rfam family: Bacterial small subunit ribosomal RNA
Source: RNAcentral
ACGAAGGGGGCUAGCGUUGUUCGGAUUUACUGGGCGUAAAGCGCGUGUAGGCGGGCCGUUAAGUUGGAGGUGAAAUCCCGAGGCUCAACCUCGGAACUGCCUUCAAAACUGGCGGCCUGGAGGAGAAGAGAGGCAAGUGGAAUUGCGAGUGUAGAGGUGAAAUUCGUAGAUAUUCGCAGGAACACCAGUGGCGAAGGCGACUUGCUGGCUUCUUUCUGACGCUGAGACGCGAAAGCGUGGGGAGCAAACAGGA